Cygnus olor (mute swan) is the source of this 391-nucleotide long non-coding RNA. RefSeq lists it as uncharacterized. NCBI's taxonomy places the organism in Eukaryota, Metazoa, Chordata, Aves, Anseriformes, Anatidae. The transcript has 4 exons. The record is from RefSeq and is a predicted model, not a curated record.
CUAGAGCCUCCAUCAAAGCCGUAAAGCAAAACAAAACUCUGAAAACAAAGACUCUAAAGCAGAAUGACCAGGCUGAGCAACAAAGAUAUGCAUCUCAGAUUCUAUACCUUCAUAGAUUCUGUUUCCUUCCUUUGCUUUGACUGGGAAUUUGCCUUAGCUGAGUGAGUAUAGCUCUUCAUCCCACCUAAUUCUUCAAAGAAGAGAUGUAUCAUUUCCUGAACAGUCAGUGCUAGAGUGACCAUUAGACAGCUGCCCAGAGACCAAUCAGAUGACAGAAGAGAGAGCCUUUUCAUCUCUGGACAACUCUUCAAAGAGGUGGAUGGGAAUUUAGCCACGACUUCCUCAUUGAUGGUAGACAUAAAAUUAGAUCUAAGUAUUACUUCACCAGUGG